RNAcentral lists this ribosomal RNA (468 nucleotides) under uncultured bacterium. Its description in RNAcentral is "partial 16S ribosomal RNA". It matches the Rfam family "Bacterial small subunit ribosomal RNA", at positions 28 to 507 of the family's 1533-position model. The record is from RNAcentral.
GACGAACGCUGGCGGCGUGCCUAACACAUGCAAGUCGAACGGAAAGGUCCUGCUUUUGUGGGGUGCACGAGUGGCGAACGGGGGAGUAACACGUGAGUAACCUGUCCCUGACUUAGGGAUAUAUUCAGGAAAAUGGGGAUCAUACAGGAUAGAAUCUCUUGCUGCAUGGUGGGGGUUGGAAAGAUUCGGCGGUUGGGGAUGGACUAGCGGCUUAUGAGCUUGUUAGUGGGGUAGUGGCGUACAACGGCUUUGACGGGUAGCCGGCCUGGGAGGGUGACCGGCCUCAUUGCGACUGCGAUACGGACCAGUCUCCUACGGGCGGCAGCAGUGGGGAGUAUGGCACAGUAGGCGGGAGCCAGAUACGACAACGCCGCGUUCGGGAUGCCGGCCUUCUGGUUGUGAACCACUUUCGCCUGUGACGAGGCGUGAGUGACGGUACUGAGUCAAGAAGCCCCGGCUAACUACGUG